Molecule: ribosomal RNA, 379 nt
Filed under: uncultured bacterium
Lineage: Bacteria
Description: bacterial SSU rRNA
Rfam family: Bacterial small subunit ribosomal RNA
Source: RNAcentral
AUUGAACGCUGGCGGCAUGCCUUACACAUGCAAGUCGAACGGCAGCACGGGGGCGAACCCUGGUGGCGAGUGGCGAACGGGUGAGUAACAUAUCGGAACGUGCCCUGGAGUGGGGGAGUAACUAGUCGAAAGAUUAGCUAAUACCGCAUACGAUCUACGGAUGAAAGUAGGGGGAUCGCAAGACCUCAUGCUCGUGGAGCGGCCGAUAUCUGAUUAGCAGUUGGUGGGGUAAAGGCCUACCAAGGCAUCGAUCAGUAGCUGGUCUGAGAGGACGACCAGCCACACUGGGACUGAGACACGGCCCAGACUCCUACGGGAGGCAGCAGUGGGGAAUUUUGGACAAUGGGCGCAAGCCUGAUCCAGCAAUGCCGCGUGAGUG